CACAAGCGGUGGAGCAUGUGGUUUAAUUCGAUGAUACGCGAGGAACCUUACCGUGGGACUUAAAUGGGGAGGUGACAGCUGUCGAAAGAUGGUUUUCUUCGGACACUCUUCAAGGUGCUGCAUGGUUGUCGUCAGCUCGUGCCGUGAGGUGUCGGGUUAAGUCCCAUAACGAGCGCAACCCUUACCGUUAGUUACCAUCAGGUUAAGCUGGGGACUCUAGCGGGACUGCCACCGUAAGGUGAGAGGAAGGUGGGGAUGACGUCAAAUCAGCACGGCCCUUAUGUCCAGGGCUACACACGUGUUACAAUGGCCGGUACAAAGGGCAGCUACUUCGCGAGAAGAUGCUAAUCUCGAAAGCCGGUCUCAGUUCGGAUCGAAGUCUGCAACCCGACUUCGUGAAGCUGGAUUCGCUAGUAAUCGCGCAUCAGCCAUGGCGCGGUGAAUACGUUCCCGGGCCUU
This 459-nucleotide ribosomal RNA is filed under the name uncultured Sphingobacteriales bacterium. Its description in RNAcentral is "bacterial SSU rRNA". It matches the Rfam family "Bacterial small subunit ribosomal RNA", at positions 924 to 1382 of the family's 1533-position model. The record is from RNAcentral. Lineage: Bacteria; Pseudomonadati; Bacteroidota; Sphingobacteriia; Sphingobacteriales.